This 138-nucleotide small nuclear RNA is filed under the name Branchiostoma floridae (Florida lancelet). Its description in RNAcentral is "U1 spliceosomal RNA". It matches the Rfam family "U1 spliceosomal RNA", at positions 30 to 166 of the family's 166-position model. From Rfam's summary of the family: U1 is a small nuclear RNA (snRNA) component of the spliceosome (involved in pre-mRNA splicing). Lineage: Eukaryota; Metazoa; Chordata; Leptocardii; Amphioxiformes; Branchiostomatidae. The record is from Rfam by way of RNAcentral.
UUAAAAACGGGACGUCCGUCCAGAGCGAGGGUUGGCCAUUGCACACCCGGCCAGCUUGACCUUUGCGAUUACCCCAAAUGCGGGUAACUCGGCUGCGUAAUUUAUGAUAGUGGGGGUCUGCGUUCGCGCUAACCCCCG